Molecule: ribosomal RNA, 497 nt
Filed under: uncultured bacterium
Lineage: Bacteria
Description: partial 16S ribosomal RNA
Rfam family: Bacterial small subunit ribosomal RNA
Source: RNAcentral
GAUGAACGCUGGCGGCGUGCCUAAUACAUGCAAGUCGAGCGAACAGACGAGGAGCUUGCUCCUUCGACGUUAGCGGCGGACGGGUGAGUAACACGUAGGUAACCUACCUAUAAGACUGGGAUAACUUCGGGAAACCGGAGCUAAUACCGGAUAAUAUUUCGAACCGCAUGGUUCGAUAGUGAAAGAUGGCUUUGCUAUCACUUAUAGAUGGACCUGCGCCGUAUUAGCUAGUUGGUAAGGUAACGGCUUACCAAGGCAACGAUACGUAGCCGACCUGAGAGGGUGAUCGGCCACACUGGAACUGAGACACGGUCCAGACUCCUACGGGAGGCAGCAGUAGGGAAUCUUCCGCAAUGGGCGAAAGCCUGACGGAGCAACGCCGCGUGAGUGAUGAAGGUCUUCGGAUCGUAAAACUCUGUUAUUAGGGAAGAACAAACGUGUAAGUAACUGUGCACGACUUGACGGUACCUAAUCAGAAAGCCACGGCUAACUACGUG